Molecule: transfer RNA, 72 nt
Filed under: Camelus bactrianus (Bactrian camel)
Lineage: Eukaryota; Metazoa; Chordata; Mammalia; Artiodactyla; Camelidae
Also listed under: 1 other name
Rfam family: tRNA
About the family: Transfer RNA (tRNA) molecules are approximately 80 nucleotides in length.
Source: Rfam by way of RNAcentral
GAUGGUCUAGCUCAGUGGUAGAGCACAUGAUUAGCAUGCAUGAGGUCCUGGGUUCAAUCCUCAGUACCUCCU